AGUAUUUGCUGUGUUGCCAAAGUAGAAAGAGCAGAAGGGAAACAUCAUGGGAAGAAAGACUAUUUUGUUUCUGAUUGCAGGGGUCCUUGGGGCAUAUUAUGUUUAUACUCCUCUCUCAGAUAAUAUUGAGGAACUCUGGUGACUGGUGUGGAUAGCUACACCUGUGAAAAUGGUAACAAAUUUGGCUUUGUUAGUUGAACUCUUGGGAAUCAAUCAUUUCAUGAAUACUGCAACGUUCUUUGUGAGCUUUCAAGAAGUCCCACCUACAUCUGAUGAAAAUGUCACCAUGAUAGAGACAACUUUCAGUAACAUUCCUGUCCGUGUAUACAUGCCAACACUAAAGUCAGAGAUACUAAGAACGGGCUUAGUUUAUAUUCAUGGUGGUGGUUGGUGUAUGGGGGAUGCUGGUAUGUGUUCCAUAUUAAAAGUUUUAGUUUAUCAUAUAACAUACAUUUUACUGAAAUGUUGACUCCAUCAUAUCAAGACAAACAUGUUAGAUAACAAAACACUUCAGCUGUCCAAAAUUUAUUUCUUUGGAGCUAUGUAGAUUUAAAAGAACUAUUUUAAAUCUCAUUCUGAAAGAGGGCAUAAUAAAUACCAAAAGCUGUAGCAAAUCUCAGGUAAGAAGAGAAUGUGUUUCACGCACUUAGACAUUUAUUAUUAAUUGCAGAUUUGAUAGAAAGUUGCAGUAGAAAACAAUGAGGUGA
RNAcentral lists this long non-coding RNA (707 nucleotides) under Homo sapiens (human). RNAcentral's name for it is "non-protein coding lnc-AADACL2-1:1". The record is from RNAcentral. Lineage: Eukaryota; Metazoa; Chordata; Mammalia; Primates; Hominidae.